Molecule: ribosomal RNA, 468 nt
Filed under: uncultured bacterium
Lineage: Bacteria
Description: partial 16S ribosomal RNA
Rfam family: Bacterial small subunit ribosomal RNA
Source: RNAcentral
GAUGAACGCUGGCGGCGUGCUUAACACAUGCAAGUCGAACGGAAAGGCCCAAGCUUGCUUGGGUACUCGAGUGGCGAACGGGUGAGUAACACGUGGGUGAUCUGCCCUGCACUUCGGGAUAAGCCUGGGAAACUGGGUCUAAUACCGGAUAGGACGAUGGUUUGGAUGCCAUUGUGGAAAGUUUUUUCGGUGUGGGAUGAGCUCGCGGCCUAUCAGCUUGUUGGUGGGGUAAUGGCCUACCAAGGCGUCGACGGGUAGCCGGCCUGAGAUGGUGUACGGCCACAUUGGGAAGGAGAUACAGCCCAGACUCCUACGGGAGGCAGCAGGGGGGAAUAUUGCACAAUGGGCGCAAGCCUGAUGCAGCGACGCGGCGUGGGGGAUGACGGCCUUCGGGUUGUAAACUCCUGUCGCUAGGGACGAAGCGUUUUUGUGACGGUACCUGGAGAAGAAGCACCGGCUAACUACGUG